Molecule: long non-coding RNA, 260 nt
Organism: Phyllopteryx taeniolatus (common seadragon)
Lineage: Eukaryota; Metazoa; Chordata; Actinopteri; Syngnathiformes; Syngnathidae
Exons: 3
Source: RefSeq, a predicted model, not a curated record
UUACUAGCUCUACAAUUUGGGAGUGUAGAAGAUGGAAUGACCUGACCUCAACCCCACUGAACACUUGUGGGAUCAUCUUGGAGAUGCUGUUGGUGCCAGUAUCACCAAAUUUGGAGAUUCGCUGCAAUUUACCUAAACCGAAAGCCCCAUGCACAUCGCUGCUUUCUGACUGGCUGAGCUGCGAUGGGGUCUGACGCAGCCUGCCAGACCACCACUGCACAUUGGAAGCAGCGGCCACCCACCUCAUGCAUGUUAAUGGC